CCUGGUUGUUGGGUUCUCACACUUGUUCUUAUUUUUGCUGACAGCUUUGAGAUGCUGCUCUGAAACCCAGGCAGGUUCUAAAGUUCUGCUCUGAGGAUUAACGCCUGUUUGGCACUUGCAAAUUGAUAUUCAUGCAGUGUUUAGUUCCUCUCCGAAGACAUUUGCUUCAAAUGUGAGUUUUUCAAAUAGGGAAAGUGAAAGAAAGGCUUUUCACUCAGACCUCUCCCAUGAAUAGCAAGCACAGCGUUAGUGAAUCUGAAAGACCACAAAUAUUCUGACACAGUUUGUGAAUAAGCCGUAAUAAAAUUUUGUUUUUGUUUAUACAAGAAAACACAAGUUAAAAAAACUCAAGUCAUCAUCAGCUCAAACCUCCAGAGAUUCACACGCUAAAAGAUGAAUCAACAAAAUUGUGAUAAAAUUUAUUUAUGAUAAAAAUAAAACAGUACUAAUAAAAGUCAUAAUUUAAGCAAAAUCAACAGGUGCAAGUAGAAAAUGUCUGCACACACACACACACACACACGCAUGUCCCUUCCAGCCCCAGUCACACACCUGCUCCCACUUCCCUCCCAUUAUCCAAACCUGCAGUUAAACCAGCUCCUCGUUAGCGUUCGCCUGUCUGGUCCUUGCUCCUUCUUCUCUGUCCGCUCACCUGCCUGCACCUCCGUCUCUGUCUGAUUCUGCUCCCUGUCACCCUUUUAUUUACCACCUACAGGUCUGUGGCUCUGAUUUAGCGUCUUCCUGUGACCUUAAGCUCUGGGGAGGUCCUUUCAGUCUAAUGGACUCCGUUGCUUCACUGAUACGCAGGCGGAAGGUGGCGGGACGAGAGCUGCGCUCCGAUGGCGGAGGUCUGAGUCGAGCAGCGAGGGACCGCGCGCUGCCGUCUCCACAUCAGCCGGAGCCUCCCUCCAACUUCCACAACUCACUCCUGCUUCAGUGCCGAGUGAAAAAUACCCCAGAGCCGGGGGCAACGAAGUGCUGGCGUCGUUUAUCGUAUUCCACGCUCAGAUGUGGGACAUUCAGCAGUCAGUGCAUCUCUAGAGGUUGAUGGCUGAGACGUCAGAUUGAUUCGUUGAGGGAAAGUGCAUCGAAAUGGGUUGUAUUGCAGUUUAAUCUCAUCUAGUCUCCUUUUCCCACGUAGCUGCAAGGACUGUUAAGUAUCUCUACAAUAGUUUGGAUUAUAUAAAUCCUAAUCUAGCAUACAUUUGUUUAGGUAGUAUCUAGACUGGUGUAAGCUGCCUAAAAAUAGAUGUUUCUGCAAUAAAAAUACUAAAAAUAAGUUAUACUGGCA
RNAcentral lists this long non-coding RNA (1288 nucleotides) under Betta splendens (Siamese fighting fish). RNAcentral describes it as "lncRNA (ENSBSLG00000026133.1)". The record is from RNAcentral. Lineage: Eukaryota; Metazoa; Chordata; Actinopteri; Anabantiformes; Osphronemidae.